GAUGAAGAACGCAGCGAAAUGCGAUAAGUAAUGUGAAUUGCAGAAUUCAGUGAAUCAUCGAAUCUUUGAACGCACCUUGCGCCCCCUGGUAUUCCGGGGGGCAUGCCUGUCCGAGCGUCAUUGCUGCCCUCAAGCACGGCUUGUGUGUUGGGCCUCCGUCCUCCUCCCGGGGGACGGGCCCGAAAGGCAGCGGCGGCACCGCGUCCGGUCCUCGAGCGUAUGGGGCUUCGUCACCCGCUCUUGUAGGCCCGGCCGGCGCUUGCCGACACAUCAAUCUUUUUUCCAGGUUGACCUCGGAUCAGGUAGGAAUACCCGCUGAACUUAAGCAUAUCAAUAAGCGGAGGA
This 345-nucleotide unclassified non-coding RNA is filed under the name soil metagenome. RNAcentral describes it as "partial contains 5.8S ribosomal RNA, internal transcribed spacer 2, and large subunit ribosomal RNA". The stretch from base 1 to 120 matches the Rfam family "5.8S ribosomal RNA", at positions 35 to 154 of the family's 154-position model. The record is from RNAcentral.